This 580-nucleotide ribosomal RNA is filed under the name Limnoxenus semicylindricus. RNAcentral's name for it is "partial 16S ribosomal RNA". The stretch from base 271 to 429 matches the Rfam family "Bacterial large subunit ribosomal RNA", at positions 2473 to 2632 of the family's 2925-position model. Lineage: Eukaryota; Metazoa; Arthropoda; Insecta; Coleoptera; Hydrophilidae. The record is from RNAcentral.
AUGGUUGGAUGAAAAAAGAUCUGUCUUAGGUUAAUUUUUAUAUGAAUUUUAUUUUUGAGUUAAAAAGCUUAAAUUUGUUUUAAAGACGAGAAGACCCUAUAGAGUUUAAUAUUUAUUUAAAUUAUUAAUUUUAGGUAUUUGUUUUUGAUAUAUUUAGGUAAAUAUUUUGUUGGGGUGACCGAAAAAUUGAAUGAACUUUUUUUAAUGUAUAAUACUAAUUAGUAAUUUUUUGAUCCAGUUAUUUUGAUUAUAAGAUUAAAUUACCUUAGGGAUAACAGCGUAAUUUUUUUGGAGAGUUCUAAUCGAUAAAAAAGUUUGCGACCUCGAUGUUGGAUUAAAAUUUAUAAUUGGUGUAGAAGCUAAUUUAUUAGGUCUGUUCGACCUUUAAAAUUUUACAUGAUCUGAGUUUAAACCGGUGUGAGCCAGGUUGGUUUCUAUCUUGAAUUUAUUUAAAUAUUUUAGUACGAAAGGACCAAUUAUUUAUAAUAUUUAUUAGUUUUUGAAUUAAAUUGUUACUUUGGCAGAUUAGUGCAUUAAAUUUAGAAUUUAAAAAUGUAUAUAUACAGGUAAUACUUGAUUU